Molecule: ribosomal RNA, 316 nt
Filed under: uncultured eukaryote
Lineage: Eukaryota
Description: partial Bacterial small subunit ribosomal RNA
Rfam family: Bacterial small subunit ribosomal RNA
Source: RNAcentral
CCGGCUAACUACGUGCCAGCAGCCGCGGUAAUACGUAGGGCGCAAGCGUUAUCCGGAAUUAUUGGGCGUAAAGAGCUCGUAGGCGGUUUGUCGCGUCUGCUGUGAAAACUGGAGGCUCAACCUCCAGCCUGCAGUGGGUACGGGCAGACUAGAGUGCGGUAGAGGAGAUUGGAAUUCCUGGUGUAGCGGUGGAAUGCGCAGAUAUCAGGAGGAACACCGAUGGCGAAGGCAGGUCUCUGGGCUGUAACUGACGCUGAGGAGCGAAAGCAUGGGGAGCGAACAGGAUUAGAUACCCUGGUAGUCCAUGCCGUAAACG